Molecule: long non-coding RNA, 2009 nt
Organism: Myotis daubentonii (Daubenton's bat)
Lineage: Eukaryota; Metazoa; Chordata; Mammalia; Chiroptera; Vespertilionidae
Source: RefSeq, a predicted model, not a curated record
GGAGGGGAGGGGAGGGGGCGGGCGCGGUGCACCCUGGGAUCGGGGCGGACCCGCGCUCUCCGGCCGCCGCGGGCGGGGUCCUGCGGGUCAGCCACCUGCCCGGCUCCGGGCGGGGUCCCUUCCCGCCCGCACCUCGGUCCCGGACAGUCUCACCGCCGGUGCCGCUCGGAUCUCCGUGUCCAGGAUGGAAAGGGAGAGAGGAAAGGACACCCACCGCCCUUCUCUGCCCUGAGCCCACUUAGGGGAGGCGGCUCCGGGCACCCGCCCUUCCUGCCUUUCUGCUCUUGGGAGAAACCCUGGCCAGGAAACCUCUUCCAAACCCUCGGGUUUAGGCCGUGGAGAGUUGCGUUGACUGUAUAAGAAAAACGUCUUCAUGGUUAAGACCCAUGACAAGGCAUUUGGGAGCAGUUCAAACACAUCAUUUUUAUCUCUAAAAAAUGUAAAACAGCACUUCCUGUUCCAUCCUGGGAUCCACCUUGAGAACUGGGGACAAAAGGAACCAUUUAUCCCACUUGGAUUCUGGAACUUAUCCGUGCCAGGAGUACAGGGGAUGAAGAGCAAAGUGGGAAGUGAGAGAUGCCAACAACUUCGCAGUGACAGCAGAGUGAUGCUAUCAGGAUAGCAAGAGGACUCUAGAGUGUCUCCCGCCCACCCCGCAAAGCAGGCAAAGGGUGUGAUGACUUGUUCUGCAUGGCAUGGCAGUCAUCUUACAGCCAACGAGAAAUAGAUGGCUUUUGUUUUUUCAACAAAGCAAAUAUUCCCCCACAUCAGACUGAAAUGCACCUCCCAGAAAUGUGCCUAGAAUUCGUGUACAGAAGAGUGACCUAAAAACGUGACUGAAUUCAUUUCAGCCUGUCAAUCAAAGGUUGGCAUCUUGACCUCAGAAGCCACUCGAUGAGAGCCAGUUCCUAGAGGUCUCCUGAUUCUGAAAAGUCUCCCCUUCCAAGGUUACUUGGAAAAUGAGUUCAAAAGGCUUCCUGUCUACGAUGAUUCCAAAUGAGUGGGGUCAGUUUCCAAGUAUUUGUUUGCCUGAUUGUGUAUGACUAGUUUUCAUACUUGUUUGCUUCCUUUUAACACAAUUUCCUGAAUGCCCACUAAAUGCCAAAUGGCAAAUAUUAUUAUUGCAAGGCCCUGGGGAUACUACAGCGUCCCAAAUGUAUAUUCACAGCUUCCUGAAAUUCCUGAUCUAGUGGAGGAUAAAGACAAGUCUACAGGGAACUAUAAUAUACUGCAAGGAACUGUGUGAUGGGAGACAGACCCCCAUAUGGGCUUGCUUUUUGCUUUCCGAUUCUUCACCCAAUAAGAACCAACAAAUACCUGGAGAAUGCAAAAUCAUAUAACCAACUUAAAUUAAUAUCUUUUAAAUAUUUGUGUAUUAGAAUGUGAAAGCGAACACAACCAAUGAUUAGCUACAACCAAUUUACAAGGUGAAAUUGCUGUUCUAAUUUGUAUAACACAUCCAAGGCCAAUCGUCAAAUAUGUUUAAACUUUCUGCUCCUAGGACGAUCUGCUCAUCGUUCUCUACACAUAUAGAUGGUAUGAAAUUGCCCACACUUCAAAUGUUUUAAAAAUGUCAUUUGAGUGGUGAAAAUUCAAUGAAAACACACUUAGGCAUAGUAAAGAGGGUGAGUCAAGUGUCUUUAAGAGUCCUGCUUUGAGAAAUUGGUUCAGGAUAGAGAUAUGGUUCCAUUCAAAGACAUCUUAACUUGAAAAAUAUGUUCACCUCCCUGACUUAUAAAAAAAAAAAAAAGAAUUAAAAACCACAACCCGAUUUUCAAAAUCAGUCACAACAAAUACUUAUGCUUAAAGAUAUCCCUUAUAAUGUUAUUUAUAAUACAAAAAAAAUUGGAAAGUCCAUUAAUUGGAGAAUGCUUAAGUAACAAUUACAUAGCAAUUAAAGAAAUAUAAAAAGCUUUCACUGACUUGCAAAAGAAAUGCUUCUGAUGCUAGGAAAAGGCAGAGCACAAAAUUUCAUUUCAUUUUAUUUAUUUAGUUAGUUAUGCAAUUUU